UACGGAGGGUGCAAGCGUUGUUCGGAAUUAUUGGGCGUAAAGGGCGCGUAGGCGGUUGCGUAAGUCAGAUGUGAAAUACUUCGGCUCAACUGAAGAACUGCAUUUGAUACUGCGUAACUAGAGUACAGGAGAGGGAAACGGAAUUCCCGGUGUAGAGGUGAAAUUCGUAGAUAUCGGGAGGAACACCAGUGGCGAAGGCGGUUUCCUGGUCUGAUACUGACGCUGAGGCGCGAAAGCGUGGGGAGCAAACAGG
This 253-nucleotide ribosomal RNA is filed under the name uncultured Syntrophorhabdus sp. Its description in RNAcentral is "partial 16S ribosomal RNA". It matches the Rfam family "Bacterial small subunit ribosomal RNA", at positions 524 to 776 of the family's 1533-position model. Lineage: Bacteria; Pseudomonadati; Thermodesulfobacteriota; Syntrophorhabdia; Syntrophorhabdales; Syntrophorhabdaceae. The record is from RNAcentral.